ACGCGCACACUGUCCAUCACACAGGUGAAUCAUUUUUGAUUUUUUGACGCGUUUGUCAUCUUGCUGUAAGGAGUUGAAUUUUUUCUUGCGUCGUUUAACUCGUUUAACAACUUUAAUUGCUGUUUGUUUUCUUCCGCUAAAACAAAAGCAAACUUUGUGGCUGAUUUAACAUUACGGCGACGGAGUACGAGAGGACACCUGACCAUACCUGGAGAUAUUUUUUCUUCUAAAUAUUUUACACCAAAAAAAAACAAAAAAACAAAAAAAAAAAACACAACGAUCCAGAGAUUUAAACAUCUCAGAUUGCUGACAGAACAGGAUCUGUCCGACGGAGGGAGAAAGUUUGCCGUCAACAGUCAGUAGAAGCACUAAUAUGACCUUGACCUCCCUUCACCAGAUGGAUAUGGAAACAUCUGACUUGCAUAUGGACGGUGAGACGAGACCGAUGCGGGUGCUGGUGACAGGCGGCAGCGGCCUUGUGGGGAAAGCCAUAGAGCGUGUGGUGAAGCAGGAAGGAGGAGCGAGAGAAGGGGAGGAGUGGAUCUUCCUCAGCUCGAAAGACGCAGAUCUGACAAACCCAGCUGAGACGAGGGCCAUCUUCAAGAAACAUCAGCCCACACACGUUAUUCACCUCGCAGCUGUAGUGGGCGGGCUCUUCAUGCACCUGAGACAGAACCUAGAUUUCCUGAGGAAGAACCUGGCCAUCAACGAUAACGUGCUACAAACGGCUCAUGAGUUCGAUGUGGUGAAAGUCGUCUCGUGUUUGUCCACGUGCAUUUUUCCGGAUAAAACCACCUACCCCAUUGAUGAGACUAUGGUAGGAAUAAACCGUGAACCCUAAAAGCCCCUCCCACCUUUGGACAUCAUCCUGGCAGCUGUGAAAAGUGUGUGUGUGCAGGAUUGAGGGUUGAGAACAUAGAGGAGGAAGGGGCCCCAUAUUCACAGAGGAACAAGAGAGAGCUAUUAUAAACAUGGUUUUGGCCAAUAAUGCGAUAUGUCUUAGAGAAAUUCAGACAGACAUCCUGAAUGACCACACAGUUUUCAGUAAUGUCCAUCAGGUCUCUCUAACAACACUGGGGCGAAUCCUUAAAAAGCAUCACAUCCAGAGGAAACAACUGUACCGAGUGCCAUUGGAAAAAAAUUCUGAAAGAGUAAAAGACCUACGGCAUGAAUAUGUGGAGAUGAGGCUGGGUUCAACCUGACUAAAGUAAGAAGAAGAGGGAGAAACAUCAUUGGCCAUAGAGCUAUUUUGAAUGUCCCGGGCCAACGUGGAGGCAACAUCACAGUGUGCUGCAAUCACACAGAAUGGGAUCCUACACCGCCAUGCCAAGUUAGGUCCUUACAACACGGCCCACAUUCUCACAUUUUUAGACAGACUUCACAACACUGUCACAGCAGAACAACAAAUGGAUGCCAAGCAGAUGAGACACACUGUCAUCUGGGACAUGUAUCUUUCCACUGAUCUGCUCUUGUCCAAAACUGGUUUCAUGAUCAUCCACAAUUUUCACUCCAAUACCUCCCACCAUACUCUCCCUUCCUCAACCCCAUUGAAGAGUUUUUUUCGGCAUGGCGGUGGAAGGUUUACGAUCUCCAGCCCUAUGUCAGGAUACCCCUCAUUCCAGCCAUGGAGGAGGCCUGUGGCCUAAUUGAUGCAGGGUCUGUGCAAGGAUGGAUUCACCAUUCAAGACACAAACAUAAGUUGUACUUAAAACAUAAGGUGUAAACUGUCACGCACUGAUCUUCUUCAUAGAUCCAUAACGGUCCUCCUCAUGAGUCCAACUCGGGUUAUGCCUACGCCAAGAGGAUGGUUGACGUAUAUUAGUGAAAAAAAUUAAAUUAGUGAGAAAAAGUCAGAAAUUAUGAGUAGCGAAAAAAUGUUAGUGGCUUCACCCUGUAAAACCAUUCCUGUUAUGGGGGUCGUCUCAUUGUUGCCCAUCUAGUGCACGUGUUGUUAAUUUCAGUAACACCAAAGCAGCUGAAACUGAUUAACAACCCUCUCUGCUACUUCACUGACCAGGUCAAUAUCCCAGGAGUUUAAUUGACUUGAUUCCAUACUCUGAUUAAAAAGUGUUCCUUUAAUUAUUUUGAGCAGUGUAUAAAUAAAUGAUAAAAAUAUUUUUUGAACAGGAACAGGUUACACCCCUGUCUGUUUUUCUUAGCAUUCAGUAAAUAAAAUUAUAAACGACUGUGUGAAUUGUGUGAAUUUACAUUGCUGUUAGUGUUGGGUUACACUUUACAAUUUACUUUGAAAACCCAAAUAUGGUUUAAAUUAAUUUAUAAUUCUCUGAAAAAAUCUUCAAGAACUGCAAGAACUUUAAACAUAUAAAAUAAACAGAACAUUAAGCAAUAAUUUAUUAAUUAAUGUUUGGACACACUGGAGGACAGAACACAUAAAUUCAUGAAGAUCUUUCAGAUUGGGACACAGUGUUAGAAAUCAAGUACAGUACCUCCUGUAACCAGUAGAUGGCAGUCUUAAUCAUGUCUUGGAAAGCACUACUACAUGUUUGUCUUAAUAUACUUAUGAGGACAUUCUACUGAUAUCAUUAUUUAUACAGAUAAUUAACACCUGAAUUUAAUCAUAACCUUAACCACUUGUAUUUUUUUUUUUAACCUUUUUACUUUUCACAUUACAGCUGUGAACAACCCAGCCAACAUUGCAGAGUGGGGCCAAUGUGGGCACCAUAUGGGCUUGAAACAUGGGCCCUAAAUGGGUUUAUCCGCGGGUUCCACAUGGGCCCUACCUAAAUUAGCCCAUAUGAGUCUCACGUAUAUUCUGACUGGGGCAAAUGUGGGGCCCAACUGGGCAACAUACAUGAGGCCCAUAUUGGUCCCACUUUGUGAAGCCCAUGUGGUAUAUACAAAGGCCCAUUAUAGGUUUAUCAGUGGGUACUGGACUGGCCCCACAUGGGUGUGUGUGUGUUGAGGCAUCUCAUUUAUAUCCAAACAGUUUCAUGCUCAAUUCUUAUUUUUAAUUUACCUGUGAUUUUUACAUUCU
This is an RNA transcript of Hemibagrus wyckioides, 2995 nucleotides long. It is a transcript of the gene named GDP-L-fucose synthase-like, with no coding region annotated. NCBI's taxonomy places the organism in Eukaryota, Metazoa, Chordata, Actinopteri, Siluriformes, Bagridae. The record is from RefSeq and is a predicted model, not a curated record. The transcript has 8 exons.